CAGCCGCCGCGGGAAUACGUAGGUGGCAAGCGUUGUCCGGAAUUAUUGGGCGUAAAGGGCUCGCAGGCGGUUUCUUAAGUCUGAUGUGAAAGCCCCCGGCUCAACCGGGGAGGGUCAUUGGAAACUGGGAAACUUGAGUGCAGAAGAGGAGAGUGGAAUUCCACGUGUAGCGGUGAAAUGCGUAGAGAUGUGGAGGAACACCAGUGGCGAAGGCGACUCUCUGGUCUGUAACUGACGCUGAGGAGCGAAAGCGUGGGGAGCGAACAGGAUUAGAUACCCCGGUAGUCCCUGUCUCUUAUAA
RNAcentral lists this ribosomal RNA (301 nucleotides) under uncultured bacterium. RNAcentral's name for it is "partial 16S ribosomal RNA". It matches the Rfam family "Bacterial small subunit ribosomal RNA", at positions 509 to 809 of the family's 1533-position model. The record is from RNAcentral.